This 104-nucleotide small nuclear RNA is filed under the name Urocitellus parryii (Arctic ground squirrel). Lineage: Eukaryota; Metazoa; Chordata; Mammalia; Rodentia; Sciuridae. The record is from RNAcentral.
GUGCUUACUUUGACAGCAUUUAUACUAAAAUUAGAAUGACAUAAAAGAUGAGCAUGGCCACUGUGCAAGGAGACACUCAAGUUCAUGAAGUGUCCCAGAUAUUU